GGCACCAUGUCUGCUGGCCUGGUGGCCACAGUAGAAUCUCUUUUCUCUUUCUUCUUUAUUCCCUAAAGUCUUAAAGAUAACUAUCUUCACAAGCAAUAUAUGCAAAUAUAUUCUCACUGGAAAGAAUUUUAAAAAUAGAGAAAUAUGGCUGGGUGCAGUGGCUCAUGCCUGUAAUGCCAGCACCUUGGGAGGCUGAGCUAGGAGGAUUGCUUGAGCUCAGGAGUUUGAGAUCAGCCUGGGCAACAUGGGGAGACCCCAUCUCAACAAAAAAUACAAAAAUUAGCUGGGUGUGGUGGUGUGCACCUGUGGUCCCAGCUACUUGGGAGACUGAGGUGGGAGAAUUGCUUGGGACCAGGAAGUCAAGGUUGCAGUGAGCUGUGAUCACACCACUGCACUCCAGCCUGGGUGACAGGUUUAAACCAGUUUUAAUUGGAUUUCCCUCACUUGAAACAAGGAAGACCUGAAUAAUAUUGCUUCUGUCUGCAUGUCCAAAUACUUUCAUUUUUCAAGAAGCAAUGUUAUACCAAGGUCAGAACAAAGGAACACUUUAUGCUGAUCCUU
Molecule: long non-coding RNA, 561 nt
Filed under: Pan troglodytes (chimpanzee)
Lineage: Eukaryota; Metazoa; Chordata; Mammalia; Primates; Hominidae
Description: lincRNA
Source: RNAcentral